Molecule: long non-coding RNA, 693 nt
Filed under: Homo sapiens (human)
Lineage: Eukaryota; Metazoa; Chordata; Mammalia; Primates; Hominidae
Description: HSALNT0110144
Source: RNAcentral
CUUCUCCCUGUGUGCAAAGGGGAUUAGCUGGGCACUUGCUCAGCUGAACUACCUCUGAAUGCACAUUCAAACUUCCAUCGAGAAUGAGCUCUUUCUCCCCCCUUCUAGAGGACCCUUCAACAAUUGAACCGCUGUAGACAACAGAUGGCAGAUAAUCACUUGAACAGCCUCCAAUUUUGUCAGGAAAGGAAAAGUGAUCAUCCAACUCUCUCUUACAGUAGUAAUUUGAUACAGAAGAUGGAAACUGCUCACCAAAAAAGACAGAGAAGUUGAUGAUGGUGGUGAGGAAACAAGAAGAUCCUGGAUCUCUGACGUCCAUGGAACUUUCAUAACAUCGUUGCCACUGCUACUUCAAUGAUCCCUUUAUGUGAAAUAAAGUAAAUCACUAUCUUGAUAUUUCCAGUUAUCUUGGAUUUCUCAAAUUAUACGUCUUAAAUGACAAAGCAUCAGAAAGGUUAAGUUUGUGACAACAUUUUCAACAGAAAAGUUAGGAAUACACUGAAUUUUUAAACAAGAACGGAUAUUAUUAUCUCUGCUUGCAAUAUUAUAAAUGUCAUUCAGGGAGUUAAUUUUUAGAGACAAAUGAUAAAUAAUAAGUAGACGCACUUUAUAUAUGUUUUCAGAUUCUUUAACAAAAGCUGUUUUUCCUGUCUUUAGAUAAAAUUUGGCAAAAAAUACUUAUAAAGUAGUAAU